Molecule: ribosomal RNA, 497 nt
Filed under: uncultured bacterium
Lineage: Bacteria
Description: partial 16S ribosomal RNA
Rfam family: Bacterial small subunit ribosomal RNA
Source: RNAcentral
GAUGAACGCUGGCGGCGUGCCUAAUACAUGCAAGUCGAGCGAACAGACGAGGAGCUUGCUCCUCUGACGUUAGCGGCGGACGGGUGAGUAACACGUGGAUAACCUCCCUAUAAGACUGGGAUAACUUCGGAAAACCGGCGCUAAUACCGGAUAAUAUAUUGAACCGCAUGGUUCAAUAGUGAAAGACGGUUUUGCUGUCACUUAUAGAUGGAUCCGCGCCGCAUUAGCUAGUUGGUAAGGUAACGGCUUACCAAGGCAACGAUGCGUAGCCGACGUGAGAGGGUGAUCGGCCGCACUGGAACGGAGACACGGACCAUAGUCCUACGGGAGGCAGCAGAAGGGAAUCUGACGCAAUGGGCGAAAGCCUGACGGAGCAACGCCGCGUGAGUGAUGAAGGUCUUCGGAGCGGAAAACUCUGUUAUUAGGGAAGAACAAAUGUGUAAGUAACUAUGCACGUCUUGACGGUACCUAAUCAGAAAGCCACGGCUAACUACGUG